UUGCUCAAGUUUCUACUUAAUACUGUUACGGAGCUUUUUAAACACCCUAUCCUUCUGUGACUUCAUCUGCCAUCUUGCUUUCCAAUAUUUGUGCAGGACAAGAGGUCAAGGUUGUGUACUGGGAUGAUAAAGACUGGAUGAAUGACUGUGAGUUUCAGUUAAGAGAGAGAGAUCAGAGCUGAAGAUUAUUUACUACAUUUUGAGAAAAAGACUAUAGAAGGUGGAAUAGCUAGAUUCUGAGGUAA
Long non-coding RNA from Saccostrea cuccullata (small rock oyster), 245 nucleotides. RefSeq lists it as uncharacterized. The record is from RefSeq and is a predicted model, not a curated record. NCBI's taxonomy places the organism in Eukaryota, Metazoa, Mollusca, Bivalvia, Ostreida, Ostreidae. The transcript has 3 exons.